Molecule: ribosomal RNA, 405 nt
Filed under: uncultured bacterium
Lineage: Bacteria
Description: partial 16S ribosomal RNA
Rfam family: Bacterial small subunit ribosomal RNA
Source: RNAcentral
GACGAACGCUGGCGGCGUGCCUAAUACAUGCAAGUAGGACGCAGUUGCGAACGGGUGAGUAACGCGUAGGUACCUACCUAUUAGAGGGGGAUAACUAUUGGAAACGAUAGCUAAUACCGCAUACUAGUAGAUGGACCUGCGUUGUAUUAGCUAGUCGGUAGGGUAAUGGGCUACCUAGGCAACGAUACAUAGCCGACUUGGGAGGGUGACGGGCAACACUGGAAUUGGGCACGGGCCAGACCCCUUAGGGGGGGCGGAAGAGGGGAUCAUCGGCAAAUGGGGGAACCCUGACCGAGCACGGCCGCGGGUGUGAGGAAGGUUUCGGGUCGGUAAGCUCUGUUGUUAAGGAAGCGGUACUUAACCAGAAAGGGACGGCUAACUACGUGCCAGCAGCCGCGGUAAUAC